GAUGAACGCUAGCGAUAGGCCUAACACAUGCAAGUCGAGGGGCAUCACAUGAAGUAGCAAUACGGAUGGUGGCGACCGGCGCACGGGUGAGUAACACGUAUGCAACCUGCCUUCAACAAGGGGAUAACCCGUUGAAAGACGGACUAAUACCCUAUAACACAGGGGUCCCGCAUGGGAAUAUUUGUUAAAGGACAACCGGUUGAAGAUGGGCAUGCGUUCCAUUAGCUAGUUGGCGGGGUAACGGCCCACCAAGGCAACGAUGGAUAGGGGAACUGAGAGGUUUAUCCCCCACACUGGUACUGAGACACGGACCAGACUCCUACGGGAGGCAGCAGUGAGGAAUAUUGGUCAAUGGACGCAAGUCUGAACCAGCCACGUCGCGUGAAGGAAGACGGCCCUACGGGUUGUAAACUUCUUUUAUACGGGAAUAAAGUGCCCCACGCGUGGGGUUUUGCAUGUACCGUAUGAAUAGGAUCGGCUAACUCCGUGCCAGCAGCCGCGGU
This 503-nucleotide ribosomal RNA is filed under the name uncultured bacterium. Its description in RNAcentral is "bacterial SSU rRNA". It matches the Rfam family "Bacterial small subunit ribosomal RNA", at positions 28 to 521 of the family's 1533-position model. The record is from RNAcentral.